AAUAUUGGACAAUGGGCGAAAGCCUGAUCCAGCCAUGCCGCGUGAGCGAAGAAGGCCUUCGGGUCGUAAAGCUCUGUCCUAAGGGAAGAAACGGACGGUACCUUAGGAGGAAGCCCCGGCUAACUACGUGCCAGCAGCCGCGGUAAUACGUAGGGGGCGAGCGUUAUCCGGAAUUAUUGGGCGUAAAGGGUGCGUAGGCGGCCAUUUAAGUCAGAUGUGAAAGACUACGGCUUAACCGUAGUUAGCAUUUGAAACUAGAAGGCUUGAGUGCAGUAGAGGAGAGUGGAAUUCCUAGUGUAGCGGUGAAAUGCGUAGAUAUUAGGAGGAACACCAGUGGCGAAGGCGACUCUCUGGACUGCAACUGACGCUGAGGCACGAAAGCGUGGGUAGCGAACAGG
Molecule: ribosomal RNA, 398 nt
Filed under: uncultured bacterium
Lineage: Bacteria
Description: partial 16S ribosomal RNA
Rfam family: Bacterial small subunit ribosomal RNA
Source: RNAcentral